Molecule: ribosomal RNA, 506 nt
Filed under: uncultured bacterium
Lineage: Bacteria
Description: partial 16S ribosomal RNA
Rfam family: Bacterial small subunit ribosomal RNA
Source: RNAcentral
GAUGAACGCUAGCUACAGGCUUAACACAUGCAAGUCGAGGGGUAACGAGAGGAAAGCUUGCUUUCCUUGUCGACGACCGGCGCACGGGUGAGUAACGCGUAUCCAACCUGCCCCCAACUAGGGAAUAACCUUGCGAAAGUAAGACUAAUACCCUAUACUUUCCUCAGAUGUCAUCUGACGAGGAAUAAAGAUUUAUCGGUUGUGGAUGGGGAUGCGGCUGAUUAGCUUGUUGGCGGGGUAACGGCCCACCAAGGCAACGAUCAGUAGGGGUUCUGAGAGGCAGCGCCCCCACAUUGGAACUGAGAAACGGUCCAAACUCCUACGGGAGGCAGCAGUGAGGAAUAUUGGUCAAUGGGCGGAAGCCUGAACCAGCCAAGUAGCGUGCAGGAUGACGGCCCUAUGGGUUGUAAACUGCUUUUAUACAGGAAUAAAGUUAGCCACGUGUGGUUAUUUGUAGGUACUUUAUGAAUAAGGACCGGCUAAUUCCGUGCCAGCCGCCGCGGUAA